AUUUUGGAGAGACAGUUUGAUCAGAUGACUAAGCCAGCUAGUCCAGCAAUCAAAGAACUUUCAGAACUUGUUAUACAAUGAAAAGUCAAAACUAAAUGGAGUAACCAUGAAUGUGUUGGAGAACUUCUCGACUCCAUGUCUCCACCAAUGAAUGCUAUCAUGGAUAACAAAUCAAAUCUCCUACGUGGAUACUUUCCGCCAAACGUCACCAGUAACAUCUCAGUAUCAAUCAUCCCAAUGUUUUGACUUUGCAGUUUUCAUCCUGAACACAGAAAAACGUUUGACAGGAAAAGUGACAAUAUACUCAAUACUGGAAUUUGAUCUCAACCUCAACAUUGCUUAUCUAAAUAGUUCCAAAAUUUACAGAUAUUAAUAAGGACUGGGGACCCCACCAGUGGCCUUGCAUAGGCUAGGGGUUUAAAAGAUGAAAUGGAAAUGCCCUCCCCCGAUAAUGAAAUUGAUGCUAUCCUAGAGCCUUCAUCCAGGGGCUGAUAUAAGCAGAGGCAGACACCCUCAGCUAAACACUGAACUGAACUCCUGGAAUCCAGUUGCAGAGAGGAAGGAGUGAAGAGCAAAGGGGUCAAGACCGAGCUACUGAAACCCACAGAAACUGCUGACUUGAACAAGGGGUGCUCAUGGACCCUAGACUGAUGGCUGGGAGACCAGUCUGGGACUGACCCAGAAUCCCUGAACAUGGGUGUAGGUUAGGAGGCCUCGGCGAUCUAUGGGGCCUCUGGCAGUGGAUCAGUAUUUAUCCCUGGAGUACAAAUGGACUUUGGCAGCCCAUUUCACGUGGAGGGAUGCUCUCUCAUCCUGGAUACAUGGGGGAAGCCCUAGGCCCUGCCCCAUACGGUAUGACAGACUUUAGGGAUCCCCCAUGGAGAGCCUCACUCUCCCUGGGGAGUGGAGAGAUGUCAUGGGGAAGGGGUUGGUGGGAGAUGGGGGAGAAGGGGAGGGAGAGGGAGCUGGGAUUGACAUGUGAAGCAGACUUGUUUCUAAUUUAAAUUUUAAAAAAGUGAUGAUUUUCCAUGUUUAAUGCACUUGGAUAUUCUAUUUUUGUAGAUAAUUCCAUUUGGUGAGAAUGGCUAUGCUUUAAAAUAGGUAACUUUAUUUGACAACCCAUGGCUUCUGGGAGGAGCAUUAAUCUCUGUGUUGGAAGUUAGAGUUAUAUUUUAUAGAUUAGUAAAUUGCUAUAUGGCUUUUCAAACAUCUCCAAUAUUUGUUAUCCUUCCCCAUCCCAUCCUCCUCCCUACCCUCACAACUUCCUCCAACAUAAACCUCCCUCCUUGUCAUUUCCCUAUUUUUAUAUAUUAAUUAGCUCAUAAAGUAGCAUGUUUCCACAUGGGAUUUCACUUGGUUGAUUUUCCUCUCUCAUUCUCCCUGUCCCUCCCUGUCACCAAUACUCCCCCUUCUACUUUAUUCUAUUACAGAAUCUCCAUAAGCCCUCUUUUUGUUAAUUCUCAUGACCCCUGUCUAGUUUCUUGGGCUUUGUCCGUGUUUACUUUCACUUGGAUGCACAUGUUUAACAGUUAAGGUCUAAGAAUUGUAUAUAAGAGAAAACAUAUGUCUUCCAAUGUUAU
Molecule: long non-coding RNA, 1580 nt
Filed under: Cricetulus griseus (Chinese hamster)
Lineage: Eukaryota; Metazoa; Chordata; Mammalia; Rodentia; Cricetidae
Description: lncRNA (ENSCGRG00015043192.1)
Source: RNAcentral